UUAGUAUUUCCAUGGGUAGUGUUAUGAGUCUAGUGAUAGUUUGACAAGGCUUUGGUAGAGGUUGUUGUGUUAGUAUUUCCAUGGGUAGUUUUAUGAGCCUGGUGAUAGUUUGACAAGGCUUUGGUAGAGGUUGUUGUGUUAGUAUUUCCAUGGGUAGUUUUAUGAGCCUAGUGAUAGUUUGACAAGGCUUUGGUAGAGGUUGUUGUGUUAGUAUUUCCAUGGGUAGUGUUAUGAGCCUGGUGAUAGUUUGACAAGGCUUUGGUAGAGGUUGUUGUGUUAGUAUUUCCAUGGGUAGUGUUAUGAGCCUGGUGAUAGUUUGACAAGGCUUUGGUAGAGGUUGUUGUGUUAGUAUUUCCAUGGGUAGUUUUAUGAGCCUAGUGAUAGUUUGACAUGGCUUUGGUAGAGGUUGUUGUGUUAGUAUUUCCAUGGGUAGUGUUAUGAGCCUGGUGAUAGUUUGACAAGGCUUU
Long non-coding RNA from Eriocheir sinensis (Chinese mitten crab), 467 nucleotides. RefSeq lists it as uncharacterized. The transcript has 3 exons. Lineage: Eukaryota; Metazoa; Arthropoda; Malacostraca; Decapoda; Varunidae. The record is from RefSeq and is a predicted model, not a curated record.